GCUUAGACAACCAGGAGGUUGGCUUAGAAGCAGCCAUCCUUGAAAGAGUGCGUAACAGCUCACUGGUCAAGUGAUUCUGCGCCGAUAAUGUAGCGGGGCUCAAGUACACCGCCGAAGUUGUGGCAAUGACCCUUUGAGGGUUGUUGGGUAGGGGAGCGUCGUGUAGCCGGUGAAGCUGCGGUGUAAACCAGUGGUGGAGGCUAUGCGAGUGAGAAUGCAGGCAUGAGUAGCGAAAGAUGAGUGAGAAACUCAUCCGCCGGAUGAUCAAGGGUUCCAGGGUCAAGUUAAUCUGCCCUGGGUUAGUCGGGGCCUAAGGCGAGGCCGACAGGCGUAGUCGAUGGAUAACGGGUUGAUAUUCCCGUACCGGUGAAAAACCGCCCAUACUGAUAUUGUGAUGCUAACCAUGCGAAGCAUGAUGUGCAGGCUUUUGUUUGUGUGUUGUGUGGGUUGUGGGACCCGAUCUUUGGAGGUAAACGUAUUAACAGGUGUGACGCAGGAAGGUAGCCAAGCCACGCGAUGGUUGUCGUGGUCUAAGCGUGUAGGGUUGUCGGUUGUUAAAUGCGCCGGCUGUGUGCCUGAGACGUGAUGGGACCCCGUUUUUGGGGGAUUUGGUGAUCCUAUGCUGCCGAGAAAAGCAUCGGCGUGAGGUUUUAGCCGCCCGUACCCUAAACCGACACAGGUGAUCAGGUAGAGAAUACUAAGGCGAUCGAGAGAAUCAUGGUUAAGGAACUCGGCAAAAUGCCCCCGUAACUUCGGGAGAAGGGGGACCUUGAGCGUGAUGGGCACUUGCUGCCUGGAGCGUGUAUGGGUCGCAGAGACCAGGGGGAAGCGACUGUUUAUCAAAAACACAGGUCCGUGCGAAGUCGUAAGACGAUGUAUACGGACUGACUCCUGCCCGGUGCUGGAAGGUUAAGAGGAUUGGUUAGCCCUUUUUGGGCGAAGCUGAGAAUUUAAGCCCCAGUAAACGGCGGUGGUAACUAUAACCAUCCUAAGGUAGCGAAAUUCCUUGUCGGGUAAGUUCCGACCUGCACGAAUGGCGUAACGACUUCUCUACUGUCUCAACCAUGAACUCGGCGAAAUUGCAGUACGAGUAAAGAUGCUCGUUUCGCGCAGCAGGACGGAAAGACCCCGUGACCUUUACUAUAGUUUGGUAUUGGUGUUUGGUUUGGCUUGUGUAGGAUAGGUGGGAGACUGUGAAGCAUGGACGCUAGUUUGUGUGGAGUCGUUGUUGAAAUACCACUCUGGUCAAUCUGGAUGUCUAACUUCGGGCCAUGAUCUGGUUCAGGGACAGUGCCUGAUGGGUAGUUUAACUGGGGCGGUUGCCUCCUAAAGUGUAACGGAGGCGCCCAAAGGUUCCCUCAGCCUGGUUGGCAAUCAGGUGUUGAGUGUAAGUGCACAAGGGAGCUUGACUGUGAGACUGGCAGGUCGAGCAGGGACGAAAGUCGGGACUAGUGAUCCGGCGGUACGUUGUGGAACGGCCGUCGCUCAACGGAUAAAAGGUACCUCGGGGAUAACAGGCUGAUCUUGCCCAAGAGUCCAUAUCGACGGCAUGGUUUGGCACCUCGAUGUCGGCUCGUCGCAUCCUGGGGCUGGAGUCGGUCCCAAGGGUUGGGCUGUUCGCCCAUUAAAGCGGUACGCGAGCUGGGUUCAGAACGUCGUGAGACAGUUCGGUCCCUAUCCGCUGCGCGCGUUGGAAAUUUGAGAAAGGCUGUCCUUAGUACGAGAGGACCGGGACGGACGAACCUCUGGUAUGUCAGUUGUACCGCCAGGUGCAUGGCUGAUUGGCUACGUUCGGGAGGGAUAACCGCUGAAAGCAUCUAAGCGGGAAGCCUGUUUCGAGAUGAGAUUUCCUGGCACUUUUGGUGUGUGAGGCUCCUUAUAGAUGAUGAGGUUGAUAGGCCGGGUAUGGAAGCGAGGACUGAAGACUCGUGGAGUUGACUGGUACUAAUAGGCCGAAGGCUUACUUUU
Molecule: ribosomal RNA, 1968 nt
Filed under: human oral metagenome
Description: bacterial LSU rRNA
Rfam family: Bacterial large subunit ribosomal RNA
Source: RNAcentral